UCAAUUCUCAAAAAUAGAUUUUGCCUUAAAUGAUUUUAUUUUGAGCUCUCGAGACUUCUUUGCUAAAUAUUAAAAUGUUAUACCUUUACAUAUAAAUUCAAGAGGUCUAAUAUAAUUUUCUUCAAUAUGCUCGAUCAUCAAGGUUUAUGACUUCGAUAUUGAUUCCUCUUAACAUUGGCAUUCGUUUCGUUCUUCAUGAGUGCAUUUAUCUUGUCCUAUGCAUGAAUUUUCAUUUUGAUGCGAUGGUCGAUUUGAUUUCAACUAUCAUGAUUCAAAAGUAGGUUUGUUAGAACCAAAAUUAAACCUUGUUUGUUAUAAUCAAAACAUAGACCGAAGUCAACCAUAUCAACAAUUUCCCCCUCUUUGAUUAUGACAAACAAGAUGAUUUGCAAAAAAUGAAUGAUUCACAAAUUUAACAAAUAUAUAUUUCUUUUGCACAUCAAUGAUCAUAUAUUGAAGAUAUUCUCCCCUUAAUCAUACACAUUAUGCAUAAUCAACCAUUACGCUAUUAAUUCCAUUUGGCAAAUUUUUGCAUAAUCAUCCACAUAUCAUAUUUUUGCAUAAUCAUCCAUAUAUCACUUCCCCCUUUUGGCAUAAGCAAAAAGAAGUCAACCAUUGAAUGCAAGAACAUAGAAACAAAAUAGAUUUGUCUAAUAACAAUGCAUAAAACCCAAAAACAGUUAGAGAAACAUAGUAGUGCAAUGUUCAAAAGGAAAUUAUAAAGACAAGCAUUAUAAAUGAUGGUGAGUGAACUAUGGUGCCGGAGGGAAUCUAGAGUAAAAAUCGGCAAAGAAAGCAGUUUGUUGUGCUUGCAUCUCUACCUGCCAGUCUUGGAUAGUUGUUUGUUGUGCCUGAAGCUGGAGAAGUAAACUUUCAAAACUGUCGAUGGUGGAAGUGUGAGAUUUAAUACGGUCGUUGAGGAUGUUAAAUUGAUCUUUGGUCAUGCGAUUCCCUCUACUCAAUGCUCGAGGGCCACUCGAGCCCGGAAUGUCGGAAAGAGAGAUUGGAGCAUCGUCGAAAUCAUCCUCAUCAUCGCCUUCCAAUGCUAAAGUGGAUGGACCCGAGGUAGGAUCGAACCCCUUUGUGUGUGCUACCCAUUACCCUUUUCCUUUGUGAUUCACAUUCGUGCAAGUGUUUUGAUGUUAAUGGUGUCGAUUGGACAUAAUUUGACAAAAGGCUCAUUGUCCAACGACACAUGAAAGUGUUUGAAAAUUUUGGUUAAAAGCAUGUCAUAUAGAAGAGUUUUGGUUUUUCGAGAGGUAUGCACGCGUUCCAUAGUUCCAAUAACCAAAGUUGGAAAAUCUAAUUUUCGAUUCACAAGAAAAUAGUCGAGAAUAAAUCAGUCGAGGAAAUUAACUUCGUCCCAAUGUCCUUUUUGAGGAAGUAUGACAUAGGCGAUAAUAUGUUGUAAAACCUUGCAAGGUAAACUCAAGUGAUGUGUACUAAUUUUAUUGAUAUUUUCAAAAUCUUUUCCGGUAACAUGUCGACAAGCAUCACUCGGGUUAUAACCCUCUAUAGACGAAUGUACCUUAUGAUGAUAAAUUUGUGUUUCACACAUGUCAAGCUCAAGAAUAUCAUGAAUGAGUGUUUUGGAAAUAGUGAUACGCACAUUGUUAAGAAAACAAGUAAUUGCGUCUGAUCGAAUAACCAUUGAGUGAUAAAAUUCUCUCAUUAACCUAGGAUAUGCGUGCUCUUUUAUCCCGACUACAUUGGUCCAAUCCAUGUUUUCUAAGAAAUCCUCAAUCUGAAAUGCAGGUGCUAACAAUGUAAAAUAAGAGAGAUCGACAUUUUUACCUAUGAGAAUGAGAGAUUUCUCAAAUGGGUUUGUAGGAACCUCAGGUACCUCAUCCAUUUCUUCAUUGGAGGAGCUUGGUGGAGGAUGUAUAACAGUCCUUUUGGGGUGAUUUACUGCUCUUUUCACUCUUGGCAUGGUGGAAAUUUUGAAAAAUUGAUGAAGAAAGAGCUAGGGUUCGAACUUUGUGAUUUAGGGAUAUUUGCAAAUGAUAGCUUGAGAUUUGGAGUAAUAGUGAGUGUAGAAGUUAUGCGUAGGAGAGAUUUUUAAGAAUUUAGCAAAAGGAAUAUGUUGUAGGAUGAAGGAAGAAGAUAUUGAGGGUGAGAAGUUAGGAAAUGGGGAGAAGAAGUGAGAAGGAAGAUGACUGGUUUGGGUUUAAAAAUCGAUAUCCCGUUAUACCAGACGGUCCGAUACAUCAUACCGGACAAUCUGUUAUGGCAGAGAAAUUUAUGUAAAAAAUGGAUUAAUGUACUGGAUAGUUCGUUGGGCUUGUCCGGUAAGUACCGGACGAUCCGUUUUGGUCGUCCGAUACAUUUUUUUUUUUAAAAAACUAAGAUACUAAAAUAUGAUGAAGUCAUGAAUAAGUAAUAAUUCGGACAAUUUUAUAAAAGCUUAUGAAUGUUGAUCAACGUGAUAGGGAGAAUUAACUACAUUCAACUUCAUUUUCAUCGAUAAUUCCUAAACCUUUUCGCAUAUAUGUGAAACGAUCGUGUGCAAGAGGUUUGGUGAGAAUAUCAGUCAAUUGGUCGUCGGUCUUUAUAAAUUCUAAUUCAAUAUCUCAUUUUUGCACAUGAUCACAAAGAAAAUGAUGUCGAAUCUCAAUAUGUUUAGUUUGUGAAUGCAAGACGAGAUUUUUAGAUAAAUUUUUGGCACUAGCAUUAUCACAUAAAAUAGGCACAUGAACGUAAAACAAAUAAUAAUCACAUAGAGUUUGUUUCAUCCAAAGUGUUUAUGCACAACAACUAGCGAUCGAAAUAUAUUCCGUCUCGAUGGUGGAUAGUGCAAAGAAAUUUUGUUUCUUACUAGACCAAGACAUAAGUACAAAACCUAGAAAGUGACAAUUUCCACUUGUGCUUUUACGAUCAACAUUACAUUCGGCUCAAUCGGCAUCCGAAUAAUUAAUUAAGUCAAUAUCAGUGCCUUUUGGAUACCAUAGUCCUAAAGUUCUCGUACCACUUAAAUAACGAAAAAUUCUUUUUACGAUCUUUAAGUGUGAUUCUUCAGGAUUAGAUUGAAAGCGAGCACAUAGGCAAACACAAAACAUAAUAUCCGGCCUACUAGCAGUUAAAUAAAGAAAGGAUCCGAUCAUACCUCAGUAUUUUGUGACACCCAUGGAUGUACCAUGCUCAUCCUUAUUAAGUUUUAGAGAUGUGCUCAUAGGUGUGUUCAUAAGCUUGAUGUCAUGCAUGUCAAAUUUCUUAAACAUAUCUAAUAUGUAUUCAUUUUGAUUUAUGAAAAUUCUUUCUUUCAUUUGUUUAAUUUGAAGGUCAAGAAAAUUUUUUUAACUCACCCAUCAUGCUCAUUUCAAAUUCUUUACUCAUGCAUUUUGAAAAUUCUUCACAAAGAUGUAUAUUUGUAACUCCAAAAAUAAUAUUGUCAACAUAAAUUUGAACAAUGAGCAUAUCAUCUUUAUGUGUUUUUAUAAAAAGUGUAGUAUACGCUUUUCUAAUCGAAAAACCAUUUGAGAGAAGAAAUUUGCUCAACCGUUCGUACCAAGCUUUAGAGCUUGUUUCAAAUCGUAAAGAGCUUUUUGAAAUUUAAAUGCAUGAUCCGAAUACUUGUGAUCUUUAAAAUCAGGAGGUUGCUCAACAAAAACUUAUUCUUAAAUGAAACCAUUUAAAAAAGUACUUUUAACAUCCAUUUGAUAAAAUGUAAAAUCUUUGUAACAUACAAAUUCAAAAAGCAUACGGAUGGAUUCUAAUCUAGCUACGGGUGUAAAUAUUUCUUCAAAAUCGAUACAUUCUUCUUGAUUGUAACCUUGGGCCACUAAUCUAACCUUGUUAUGCACGAUUAUUUCAUUUUCAUCUCUUUUAUUUCUAAAAACUCAUUUUGUUUCAAUAACGGUUUGAUUGUUUGGUCUAACGACUAAGUCCCAAACAUGGUUUCUUUCAAAUUGAUUUAAUUCUUCUUGCAUUGCUAGAAUCCAAAACUCAUCAAACUUGGCUUCUUUGAAAUUCUUAGGUUCGAUUUGAGAAAUAAAUGCACAACUACCAAAAUAAUUUUUGUAAGAGGUUCUAAUAGUGAUACCUUUUGAUGGAUCACCAAUUAUUAGCUCUUUGGAAUGAGAUGGAACAAACCUCCAUUCUUUUGGUAACGAGGGAUCACUUUAUUCUCCGUUUUGUCUUUCUUCAUUUUUUUGAGCAUUUGACUUUUCUAUGUCUCCAUUUGUUGCCUCCUUAUUUUGGUCUUGAAUUUUCAUUUGUUCGAAAGGAGCUUCCAAACCUACAUCGUCAUCACUACCUUUCUCUCGAUCAAAUGAGUUAGUUCCAUCAAAAGUAACAUGCAUAGAUUCUUCAACGACUAGAGUUCGUUUGUUAAAAACUCUAUAUGCUUUGCUAGUCGAUGAAUAUCCUAAGAAAAUUCCAAUGUCGGAUUUGGAGUCGAAUUUCCCCAAAUUGUAUUUUGUAUUUAAAAUAAAACAUUUACAUCCAAAAACUUUAAAAUAACUAAUAUUUGGAAUUCUAUUUUUCCAAAAUUCGUAAGGAGUUUUAGUUUUCCUUUUACUUACUAAUACUCUAUUGAUAAUGUAGCAAGCGGUAUUAACGGCUUUAGCCCAAAAAUAUUUAGGCAAGUUAUUUUCAUUUAACAUAGUUCGAGUCAUUUCUUACAAUAUACGAUUCUUCCUUUCUACUACACCAUUUUGUUGAGGUGUUCUAGGAGCCGAAAAAUUAUGUUCAUAUCCAUGUUCUUUACAAAAAUCAUCAAACCCAACAUUAUCAAAUUCUCCACCAUGGUCACUUCUAAUAGUUGAAAUAGAAUAGCCUUUUUUCAUUUUCAACUUUCUUAUAAAAAUGUUUAAAAAAUUUCAAAACUUCUUCUUUUAAGCUUAAAAAUAUAACCCAAGUAAAUUUUGAAAAAUUAUCGACAAUAACAAAAGCAUAAUGUUUACCUCCUAAGCUAGCCAUCCUAGAAGGUCCAAAAAGAUCCAUAUGGAAAAAUUGUAAUGAUUUUGUGGUUGAAGUAUAAAGUUUUGGUUUGAAAGAACUUUUUACUUGUUUUCCAAAUUGACAGGUAUCACAAAUUUUGUCUUUUUCAAAUUCGGUAAACCUUUUACAAAACAAUUUUUGAAAAUUUUUGAAAGAAGAUCCAUAUUUACAUGUCCAAGUCUUCUAUGCCAUAACCAUGAUUCUACUUUCAAGCUAAGUAAACAUUUUUCAUUAUUUUCCAAUUCAAUGUUUAUAAUAUAAACAUCUUUACUUCGACUUCCUAUAAAAAUCACCUCUUUCGAUGUAGCAUCCUUAAUAAGACAUUUGGAAGAAUUGAAUUUUAUGUUAUAAGCUUUGUCACAUAAUUGACUAAUGCUUAGUAAAUUAUGUUUAAAAUUAUCAACGAGUAAAAUAUUUUCGAUAGAGGGGGAUGAGUGGUUACCAAUGUUUCCAAUGCCGAUUAUUUUACCUUUGGCAUUAUCUUCAAAAGUCACAUAGCCUUCAUCCUUCUCUUGAAAGUUUGAUAAUAAUGAUCAAUCUCUAGUCAUAUGCUUUGAGCAUCCACUAUCCAAGAAUCAUUUAAUUUUUAUUUUCUUUGGUACCUACAAAGACAAAUUAAGUUUUGACUUUUGGUACCCACACAAAUAUAGGUCCUUGAUGAUUUUUUUUGUGGAUUCUUGUAUCCACUUGUAUUUGCUCUCAAAGAAUAAUUUUUUUAUUUACACAAUUUAAAGCAAUAUGUUCACUUUUAUUACAAAAGCUACAUGAAAUAUUUGAAGCCUUAACAAACAUAUUUUUGAGUGAUUUUUGUUUUAGAGAGGGUUUGUAUCCAAUUCCUCCUUUAUCAAAAAUAUAUUUUUGACUACCGAGUAUUAAAUCAAAAUUUUUCUUACAUAUAAUAAACUCAUGGAUAAUUUGUGUUAAAUCAUUAACCUUUUCUUUCAAAGAAAUGUUUUCUUUUAUCAAAAGGUCAUGAUCAAUACUCACUUUUUGAUUUUCGAAAAUUUUCUUAAUUUCUUCUUUUAAAAUAAAGUUUUUCUUUUUAAGAAUAGCAUGAUUUAAAGCGAGUUUUUCAAAAUUUUCAAGCAUUUCAACAUAAGAAAUUGAAAGCUCAUCAUAAGAACAUACUUCUUCUUCGAUUGCCAUGAAGCACAUAUUUGCCACUUCAUCUUGACUAUCUUCCCAUUUUGUUCUUCGUCAUUGCUAUCAUCCCUGUGGCUUGGAGUGCCUUUUUCUUGAAAUUUUUCUUUUUGUGUGGACACUCGAUUCUCUUGUGACCUAGCUUGUCACAAUUAUAGCAAACAAUUUUUUUGUUCCUAUCUUCUCCUUUUUCUUAUUUCUUUUUGAAUCUUCGAUUAUUACGAAAACCUCUUCAUUUUUUGACAAGAAGGACCAAAUCAUCAAGUUCUUCAUCGCUCAUAUUUUCAUUUGAUGUUCCUUCUUCAAUUGCCAACUUUAAUGCAAUUUGUCGUUUAGGAGGCUCCUUUGAUUCCUCCUUGCUUUUUUUCAUUUUCUCCUUAACUUCGGCAUUGUUUAGCUCAUUAAUGUGCCGUAGAGCUCUUCCAAAAGAUAUGUAUUUACAUCCUUAGUAUUCUCGAUCAACAUCCUCAAUGGACUUCAUUCCUCCGAUAAGCACCUAAGCAUUUUUCUCACAAGUUCACUGUUAGUAAAUUUACAAUCAAAACCUUUAAGAUCAUUUACAAUAUCGGUAAAACAAGUAAUCAUGUCAACAAUAGGCUCAUUUUGUUUCAUAUAGAAAUUUUCAAAUUCUUUAACUAACAUAUUUAUCUUUGUUUCCUUAACUUACUUGUGCCAACAUGAGUAACUUCAAGAGCAUGCCAAAUACCAUAUGCCGAAUCACAUGUACUAAUUCGAUUAAAUUCAUUUCUAUCAAGUGCACAAUAAAGUAAAUUUUUAGCCUUGGCAUUUAAUGUAGUUUUCUCUUAUCUUCAUCAUCGUAUUCUUCUCUAGAUUUGGGGAGAGUUUGCUCCGGUUUAUCGUCUACUUUAAUAGUCUUAGUGGGAACAUAUGGACCAUAUUCUAUAACUUCCGAAAUAUUGUAAACAAUGGAUUGAACAUAUAUCAUCAUCCGAGCCUUCCAAUAGUUAUAAUGUGUACCAUCAAAGAAAAGAGGCCGGUUUGUAGAGUGUCCCUCAAUAUUUUGAAAAACUUGGUUAGCCAUUACUCAAGAUUGUAUAAUCUUAAAAAAAAAAAAAAAAAAAAGAGAGAGAGAACCUUGCUCUGAUACCAAUUGACAGCCCAAGAACAACUGACCAAGAGGGGGUGAAUUGGUUAUUUGAAACUUUUUUGAAAAUAAGUUCAAAUUUAAACAAAUAACAAUUAAAAUAAUAAGUAAGUAAGAUAUCGCAAAAAUAAUAAGAAAAAGGGAAGAGAGAGCGCAAACGAUGUAAUAAGGAGGUUCGAUCCAAUCAACUAUCUACGUCCCCUGUUACCAAGCUCUCCGUCACGAGUAAGGCUUUUUCCACUAUAUUUGAUUGACUUAUGGUUCAAUGCAACCUUUACAAAGCUUUCGAUGACUUACAAUUAAGGAGUACUGAUCCUUUUACAUCGUUGAGAGGUGUCAGAACGUUAAAAAUUUUGACCGUUGGGCAAAGACCUUUACCGGACGGUCCGGUAUCGUCUGGUACACUACUGGACCGUCCGGUAGCUCAAUUCUCAAAAAUAGAUUUUGCCUUGAAUGCUUUUAUUUUGAUCUCCCGAGACUUCUUUGCUAAAUAUUAAAAUGUUAUACCUUUACAUAUAAAUUCAAGAGUUUUAAUAUAAUUUUCUUCAAUAUGCUCGAUCAUCAAGGGUUAUGACUUCGAUCUUGAUUCCUCUUGACAUUGGCAUUCGUUUCGUUCUUCAUGAGUGCAUUUAUCUUGUCCUAUGCAUGAAUCUUCAUUUUGAUGCGAUGGUCGAUUUGAUUUCAACUAUCAUGAUUCAAAAGUAGGUUUGUUAGAACCAAAAUUAAAUCUUGUCUGUUA
Molecule: long non-coding RNA, 7922 nt
Filed under: Olea europaea (common olive)
Lineage: Eukaryota; Viridiplantae; Streptophyta; Magnoliopsida; Lamiales; Oleaceae
Description: long non-coding RNA (OEUR_LNC000715)
Source: RNAcentral